CAUGCAAGUCGAACGGUGAACACGGAGCUUGCUCUGUGGGAUCAGUGGCGAACCGGAGUGUAACACGUGAGCAACCUGCCCCUGACUCUGGGAUAAGCGCUGGAAACGGCGUCUAAUACUGGAUACGAGUAGCGACCGCAUGGUCAGUUACUGGAAAGAUUUAUUGGUUGGGGAUGGGCUCGCGGCCUAUCAGCUUGUUGGUGAGGUAAUGGCUCACCAAGGCGUCGACGGGUAGCCGGCCUGAGAGGGUGACCGGCCACACUGGGACUGAGACACGGCCCAGACUCCUACGGGAGGCAGCAGUGGGGAAUAUUGCACAAUGGGCGCAAGCCUGAUGCAGCAACGCCGCGUGAGGGAUGACGGCCUUCGGGUUGUAAACCUCUUUUAGCAGGGAAGAAGCGAAAGUGACGGUACCUGCAGAAAAAGCGCCGGCUAACUACGUGCCAGCAGCCGCGGUAAUACGUAGGGCGCAAGCGUUAUCCGGAAUUAUUGGGCGUAAAGAGCUCGUAGGCGGUUUGUCGCGUCUGCUGUGAAAUCCGGAGGCUCAACCUCCGGCCUGCAGUGGGUACGGGCAGACUAGAGUGCGGUAGGGGAGAUUGGAAUUCCUGGUGUAGCGGUGGAAUGCGCAGAUAUCAGGAGGAACACCGAUGGCGAAGGCAGAUCUCUGGGCCGUAACUGACGCUGAGGAGCGAAAGGGUGGGGAGCAAACAGGCUUAGAUACCCUGGUAGUCCACCCCGUAAACGUUGGGAACUAGUUGUGGGGUCCAUUCCACGG
Molecule: ribosomal RNA, 775 nt
Filed under: Microbacterium foliorum
Lineage: Bacteria; Bacillati; Actinomycetota; Actinomycetes; Micrococcales; Microbacteriaceae
Description: bacterial SSU rRNA
Rfam family: Bacterial small subunit ribosomal RNA
Source: RNAcentral